RNAcentral lists this ribosomal RNA (795 nucleotides) under uncultured bacterium. RNAcentral's name for it is "bacterial SSU rRNA". It matches the Rfam family "Bacterial small subunit ribosomal RNA", at positions 8 to 796 of the family's 1533-position model. The record is from RNAcentral.
AGAGUUUGAUCCUGGCUCAGAUUGAACGCUGGCGGCGUGCCUAACACAUGCAAGUCGAGCGGUAACAGGUGUAGCAAUACAUGCUGACGAGCGGCGAACGGGUGAGUAAUGCAUUGGAAUCUUCCCAGUAGUGGGGAAUAACCAGUCGAAAGAUUGGCUAAUACCGCAUACGUCUGUAAAGGGAAAGCGGGGGCUCGUAAGACCUCGCGCUAUUGGAUGAGCCAAUGUCGGAUUAGCUAGUUGGUGGGGUAAUGGCCUACCAAGGCGACAAUCCGUAGCUGGUCUGAGAGGACGACCAGCCACACCGGAACUGAGACACGGUCCGGACUCCUACGGGAGGCAGCAGUGGGGAAUAUUGGACAAUGGGGGAAACCCUGAUCCAGCGACGCCGCGUGUGUGAAGAAGGCCUGCGGGUUGUAAAGCACUUUUAGUGGGGACAAAAAGCUACGGACUAAUACUCUGUGGUCUUGAUUUAACCCAAAGAAAAAGCACCGGCUAACUCUGUGCCAGCAGCCGCGGUAAUACAGAGGGUGCGAGCGUUAAUCGGAAUUACUGGGCGUAAAGCGCGCGUAGACGGUUUUGUAAGUCAGAUGUGAAAUCCCUGGGCUCAACCUGGGAACUGCAUUUGAUACUGCAUGGCUAGAGUAUGGAAGAGGGAAGUGGAAUUUCCGGUGUAGCGGUGAAAUGCGUAGAUAUCGGAAGGAACACCAGUGGCGAAAGCGACUUCCUGGUCCAAUACUGACGUUCAUGUGCGAAAGCGUGGGGAGCAAACAGGAUUAGAUACCCUAGUAGUCC